Molecule: ribosomal RNA, 404 nt
Filed under: uncultured Anaerovorax sp.
Lineage: Bacteria; Bacillati; Bacillota; Clostridia; Peptostreptococcales; Anaerovoracaceae
Description: partial 16S ribosomal RNA
Rfam family: Bacterial small subunit ribosomal RNA
Source: RNAcentral
UGGGGAAUAUUGCACAAUGGGCGAAAGCCUGAUGCAGCAACGCCGCGUGAGCGAUGAAGGCCUUUGGGUCGUAAAGCUCUGUCCUUGGGGAAGAAACAAAUGACGGUACCCAUGGAGGAAGCCCCGGCUAACUACGUGCCAGCAGCCGCGGUAAUACGUAGGGGGCGAGCGUUAUCCGGAAUUAUUGGGCGUAAAGAGUAUGUAGGUGGCUUUGUAAGCGCGGGGUGAAAGGCAAUAGCUCAACUAUUGUAAGCCUUGCGAACUGCAAAGCUUGAGUGCAGGAGAGGAAAGCGGAAUUCCUAGUGUAGCGGUGAAAUGCGUAGAUAUUAGGAGGAACACCGGUGGCGAAGGCGGCUUUCUGGACUGUAACUGACACUGAGAUACGAAAGCGUGGGGAGCAAACA